GACGAACGCUGGCGGCGUGCUUAACACAUGCAAGUCGAGGGGCAGCAUGGUCGAAGCUUGCUUCGACUGAUGGCGACCGGCGCACGGGUGCGUAACGCGUAUCGAACCUGCCCUGUACACGGGGAUAGCCUUGCGAAAGUAAGAUUAAUACCCGAUGCCAAGUUGAGAUCGCAUGAUUUUGAUUUGAAAGAAAUUCGGUAUAGGAUGGCGAUGCGUCUGAUUAGGUAGAUGGCGGGGUAACGGCCCACCAUGCCGACGAUCAGUAGGGGUUCUGAGAGGAAGGUCCCCCACAUUGGAACUGAGACACGGUCCAAACUCCUACGGGAGGCAGCAGUGAGGAAUAUUGGUCAAUGGGCGAGAGCCUGAACCAGCCAAGUAGCGUGCAGGAUGACGGCCCUAUGGGUUGUAAACUGCUUUUAUGUGGGAAUAAAGUGAGGGACGUGUCCCUUUUUGUAGGUACCACAUGAAUAAGGACCGGCUAAUUCCGUGCCAGCAGCCG
RNAcentral lists this ribosomal RNA (499 nucleotides) under uncultured bacterium. Its description in RNAcentral is "bacterial SSU rRNA". It matches the Rfam family "Bacterial small subunit ribosomal RNA", at positions 28 to 517 of the family's 1533-position model. The record is from RNAcentral.